This 482-nucleotide ribosomal RNA is filed under the name uncultured bacterium. RNAcentral describes it as "bacterial SSU rRNA". It matches the Rfam family "Bacterial small subunit ribosomal RNA", at positions 355 to 853 of the family's 1533-position model. The record is from RNAcentral.
UGGGGAAUCUUGGACAAUGGGCGCAAGCCUGAUCCAGCCAUGCCGCGUGAGCGAUGAAGGCCUUAGGGUUGUAAAGCUCUUUCACCGGUGAAGAUAAUGACGGUAGCCGGAGAAGAAGCCCCGGCUAACUCCGUGCCAGCAGCCGCGGUAAUACGGAGGGGGCUAGCGUUGUUCGGAAUUACUGGGCGUAAAGCGCACGUAGGCGGACCAGAAAGUUGGGGGUGAAAUCCCGGGGGCUCAACCCCGGAACUGCCUCCAAAACUAUUGGUCUAGAGUUCGAGAGAGGUGAGUGGAAUUCCAAGUGUAGAGGUGAAAUUCGUAGAUAUUUGGAGGAACACCAGUGGCGAAGGCGGCUCACUGGCUCGAUACUGACGCUGAGGUGCGAAAGUGUGGGGAGCAAACAGGAUUAGAUACCCUGGUAGUCCACACCGUAAAACGAUGAAUGCCAGUCGUCGGGUAGCAUGCUAUUCGGUGACACACCU